AUGAGGGCAGAGUUGGUGGAUGUAACCAUCAUAGACAACCGCUGCACACUGACUUGGAGGCUUUGGUUAGAGUUGUCUGAUUGUUUGUGUCCUCUACCAUCUCUGCCAGCUCAUUUCUGCAACCAGCUGAAGAAAACUCUGAUGACUAGGUCAUUAGCACUCACACGACUAGGUCUGGCCCACCCAGAGUCAGCAGUGGAAUGUACAGUCGACUGUAAUAAUUACAGGUGUGCUCUGUGAUACAGUCAUAUACACAGAUUCAACCCCCAGUCACAGGGAAGGUGACGAUAUAAAGGUGAAGGUUACUGAAGAUCAUCUGAGAGUUCUCCUGAGACCCCCUUCUACCUCCUGAAACAUAUCCUGUGAAAGGUGGCGAUGCAGCAAAGAAUUUCUCAUUGAGUCACUCUUGCAUUUUCCUAGUUUAUUGUACUCUGCCUGGGAAUACAGAAAAACUCAGGAUGCCCUCAUUCUUUCAGUCUGGGAGACAAAUCAAGAAACAUAUCAAAGAGGGCAGAAGUGAUGUUGGUCACUCUUAUUCUUGGACUCCAAUAUUUCCCCAAAUAAAUACAUUGCUGAGGGAAGACAAGAUGAUUUUAAGGUGUACGUGGGCACACUGAUAAAUAAUAUUGAAGCAAAUGAGAAAAACAUUCCCUUUUCUUUUCUAAUACCUUUCAUUAUAUUAAGGAGAAAGUCUCUGUUUUCUACCCACAUGUCCUUAACACCUCCUAGGUUUGCAAAUCUCCCUCUUUCACAAAAGGUUAGGCUUAGAGACUUACAGGUGCAACAGUAUCCACCUAGCACUGAACAACAUUUUCGUUUGUAUUGUGCCAAUUUUUAGGUCCCUUUAAUUACGGCAAAUGGUACCAGCUUUUACUCACAGUGCUGAUGAAAGAUUUUCUUAUUAAACUUUUUUUAAAGAAAAAAGACAGUGUCCAUUUAUUUUUAUAAUUUCUCUUUAUUUACUUAUUCAUUUCUGGCUGCACAGGGUCUGCGUUGCUGCACACAGGCUUUGUCUAGUUGAAGCGAGCGGGCUUCUCAUUGCAGUGGCAGCUUUUCUUGUUGCAGCACGGGCUCUAGAGCGUAGCCUCAGUAGUUGAGGGACAUUGGCCUAGUUGCCCAGUUGCAUGUGGAAUCUUCCCAGACCAAGGAUUGAGCCCAUGUUCCCCGCAUUAGCAGGCAGAUUCUUAACCACUGGACCACUGGGGAAAUCCGUUCGUGUCCAUUUAAAUGAAAAUAUUAUAUAAAGAACAGAUCUGGUGGUUCAUGUUGUCAUUGUGUAGUCACUAAGUUGUGUCUGACUCUUUUGGGACCCCAGGGACUGUAGCACGCCAGGCUUCUCUGUCCAUGGCAUUUCCCAGGCAAGAAUACUGGAGCCAUUUCCUUCUCCAGGGGAUUUUCCCAACCCAGGGAUUGAACCCAUGUCUCCUGCAUUGACAGGUUAAUUCUUUACCACUGAACCACCAGGGAAGCCCACUGGUGGUUCAUAGAUACAGUAAGUCAUCAGUUUGUAGGAUGUGAAUAAAGGGAGUUGGGGAGAUGGUGCUCUAAUUCAGGAAUAAUUGGGCUGCAGCCUCUAGGCUGGGGCUAAGCCUGCAGGGGAGAGUUAAAAGGAGGUUCCAUUGCUGACACAUUGGAAAGGGAGAGGGAAAUGCCUUGAGAAGGACAUGGGCAGUGGAACCCUGGCUUCCUGCCCUGGGUUGGCCAAUUACCAGCUGUGUAGCUUACAGCCUUCUCUUCCCUUUCUGGACUUGCACGGUCCCUACUGUAAAAUGAAAAGUUUGGAUUUGAUCAUCUCUAAUGUUCCCUUCAACCCUGACUUUCUGUGAUUCUGUGAAUGAGUUAGGCAUGAUAAAGUCUCAAUCAUUUUGAUUCACACAUUCAUAUGUUGAUAUGAAGAAAAAAAUCUCCCCAUUGCUGAUCAUUCACAGCAGUGUUUCUCAGCUGCUGCAUUUAUCGACAUUUGAGGCAAUAUAUUUCCCUGUUAAGGUGACUGUCUUAUGCAUUGUAGGAUGUUGAGUAGCAUCGCUAUUCUCUACCCAUUAGACACCAGUAGCAAUCCCCCUGGGCUUCUCACAUGGCGCUAAUGGUAAAGACUGCCUGCCAAUGCAGGAGACAUAAGAGACAUAAGAUCACCCGGUUCGAUCCCUGGCUCUGGAAGAUCCUCUGUAGGAGGGCAUGGCAACCCACCCCAGUAUUCUUGCCUGGAGAAUCCCAUAGACAGAGGAGCUUGGUGGGUUACAGUCAAUAGGAUCCCAAAGAGUUGGACACAACUGAAGCAACUUAGCACACACCCUCAGCAAUCUCCCAAUAUGAUAACGAAAAAUAUUUCCAGACAUUGCUAAAUACCCUCUAGAAAGCAAAAUCACCCUGAUUGGGAAUCACUAAUUUAGGGAAAACUCAUCUGUUUUUGUGUGAUCUAUGUCCCAU
This 2427-nucleotide long non-coding RNA is filed under the name Ovis aries (sheep). RNAcentral's name for it is "lncRNA (ENSOARG00000026906.1)". Lineage: Eukaryota; Metazoa; Chordata; Mammalia; Artiodactyla; Bovidae. The record is from RNAcentral.